The sequence is a ribosomal RNA, 876 nucleotides long. It matches the Rfam family "Bacterial large subunit ribosomal RNA", at positions 1241 to 2595 of the family's 2925-position model.
UUAAAAAGCGUUAAAGCUUAAUCUUUCCCCAUUUUUAAUUUCAUAAAACUAAAUGACCCCUUACUUAAUAUUGAAUGACUUCAUAACUUUAUGAAAAUCAUCAUGCUGGAACUAGUAACAAGAACUUAACAUUCUCCAAAAUGUAAACAUAAACUAAAAUGGACUAUCCACUAGUAAUUAACGUAAAUGAAACUAAUACACCAACAACCUAAGAAAAACCUGUAUAUCCACCACGUUAACCUGACACAAGAACACUUAUGGAAAGAUUUAAAGAAAAAGAAGGAACUCGGCAAACUUUAACCCCGCCUGUUUACCAAAAACAUCGCCUCUUGAUAAAGUAUAAGAGGUCCAGCCUGCCCAGUGAAAAUUCAACGGCCGCGGUACACUGACCGUGCAAAGGUAGCAUAAUCAUUCGCCCCUUAAUUAGGGGCCUGUAUCAACGGCAUCUCGAGGGUUAUUCUGUCUCCUUUUUCUAAUCAGUGAAACUGAUCUACCCGUGAAAAAGCGGGUAUUUAACUAUAAGACGAGAAGACCCCAUGGAGCUUCAAACCAAAAGCAAAUUAAACUUAUACACCACUAUAACCUCUAUAUGAUGCAUAUCGGUUUUAGGUUGGGGCAACCGCGGAGAAAAAUUUAACCUCCACAACGAAAAGACCUUAGUCUUUAUCCCAGAGCAACCACUCUAAGAACUAGGAUACUAACGGAUAAUGAUCCAAUUCUUUGUAAUUGAUCAACGGACCAAGUUACCCUGGGGAUAACAGCGCAAUCUACUUUGAGAGUUCUUAUUGACAAGUGGGUUUACGACCUCGAUGUUGGAUCAGGGUAUCCUAGUGGUGCAGCCGCUACUAAAGGUUCGUUUGUUCAACGAUUAAAACC